GAUAAUUAGGAUAAAGUCCUUAUACUUAUAAAUAAGUUUGGAAACAAUUGGAUUAAAGAAAAUUGCAUUUUUAAGGUUUCUAGGCUGCCAAAAUCGAUUCAUGAUUCGUAAGAUCGCUUCAUGAUUUUGACAGCAUCAGACUGAGUAGAAAAAUUUGAUGUUGCUGUCAAAAUCGCCUCAUGAUUUGCGAAAUCGCUUCAUGAUUCGACAGCAUCAGGCUAUGCAGAAAAUUU
Molecule: long non-coding RNA, 233 nt
Filed under: Medicago truncatula (barrel medic)
Lineage: Eukaryota; Viridiplantae; Streptophyta; Magnoliopsida; Fabales; Fabaceae
Description: long non-coding RNA (MTRU_LNC004608)
Source: RNAcentral